This 67-nucleotide transfer RNA is filed under the name Marmota monax (woodchuck). Its description in RNAcentral is "tRNA.Ala". The record is from RNAcentral. Lineage: Eukaryota; Metazoa; Chordata; Mammalia; Rodentia; Sciuridae.
GGCUGUAGCUCAGUGGUAGAGCACUCGCCUAGCAUGUGUGAGGCACUGGGUUGGAUCCUUAGCACCA